UUAGAACGUAAAACAAACAACAUUAAAUAUGUUUUUUCUUACUGUGUUGGCAUGCAUUACUCUCUCCCAGGCCAGUUAACUGCUUUAUAAUACCUAUCCUUACGCUCGUCCUUACCAAGCUGGGUACUACGUCAGGGACCCUCAUCGUCACGAGCACGUUGAAGUAGCUCGAGACCACGGAGGUGCAGUUGCAGGUCGAUACGGUUACCUCGAUGCCAGGGGAAUCGGACGACAGGUGCAUUACGUCGCUGACCACGCCGGACUUAGGGCUAAUGUGCACACCAAUGAACCAGCAAUCGUCCGCAACGCACCACUCGCCGCUGGUAUUGUCUCUGACGGUCUUCUCGCUCGUGGUGUAGCUGCUACAGUUCCUGCCUAUAAUCCAGCCCUCGGUUACGAUUAUGGAUUGAAUCCAUAUGGUUUGGCAUACAACAGAUUUGGUCUUGGAUACGGCUAUGGAAGUGCUUUGGGAUACACUGGUCUUUUGGGAAGUUACGGAAAUCUCUAUGCUUAAUUUUUUUAUUUCCUAAUCUGAAUGAAUUUGCCUACCUCAUUUGAAAAUGUGAAAACUGAAUACUUGAAUUUCGCUGUUUCGUGAUGUGUAUCUUUAAUUUCUAAAUUUCAUUUGCUUUAGACAUACAUUUUUUUUUAUUUCUUUGGUUUUACAAGUUAGAAAAUUCUCGCGCGCUUUUUAAACCAAUACUGUAUGA
Molecule: long non-coding RNA, 710 nt
Organism: Argiope bruennichi
Lineage: Eukaryota; Metazoa; Arthropoda; Arachnida; Araneae; Araneidae
Exons: 3
Source: RefSeq, a predicted model, not a curated record